RNAcentral lists this ribosomal RNA (171 nucleotides) under Triticum aestivum (bread wheat). RNAcentral's name for it is "partial small subunit ribosomal RNA". Lineage: Eukaryota; Viridiplantae; Streptophyta; Magnoliopsida; Poales; Poaceae. The record is from RNAcentral.
AUGAACUUAGAAUUCUUUUACGACAACGUUGGUAGCCGUGUCAAACCAGCUAGAGACCCAAACCGCAUUAGAGCUUUUCUUCAGACAUACAAGGAUAUUGAAAAUGCAGACACACACUUUCAACUUCAGAAAGAUCUCAUUGAGCACCAUUGGCAAAGGGCUGGACAGUGA